RNAcentral lists this ribosomal RNA (1613 nucleotides) under Boekhoutia sp. Its description in RNAcentral is "SSU rRNA". It matches the Rfam family "Eukaryotic small subunit ribosomal RNA", at positions 21 to 1663 of the family's 1831-position model. Lineage: Eukaryota; Fungi; Basidiomycota; Agaricostilbomycetes; Agaricostilbales; Chionosphaeraceae. The record is from RNAcentral.
AGUCAUAUGCUUGUCUCAAAGAUUAAGCCAUGCAUGUCUAAGUAUAAGCAAUCUAUACUGUGAAACUGCGAACGGCUCAUUAAAUCAGUUAUAGUUUAUUUGAUGGUACCUUACUACAUGGAUAACUGUGGUAAUUCUAGAGCUAAUACAUGCCGAAAAGGCCCCGCAAGGGGUUGUAUUUAUUAGAUUAAAGGCCGUUGGCGGAAACGCCAGUUGGUGAAUCAUGAUAACUGCUCGGAGCGUAUGGCCUUGUGCCGACGCCACUUCAUUCAAAUACCUGCCCUAUCAGCUUGAUGGUCGUGUAGUGGACUACCAUUGCUAUUACGGGUAACGGGGAAUUAGGGUUCGAUUCCGGAGAGAGGGCCUGAGAAACGGCCCUCAUUCCUAAGGGAAGCAGCAGGCGCGUAAAUUAUCCACUCUGAACAAUUUCAGGAGAUAGUGACAAUAAAUAACAAUCGAGAGCUCUUUCGGGUUUUCGAAUUGGAAUGAGAACAAUCUAAAUCCCUUAACGAGGAUCAAUUGGAGGGCAAGUCUGGUGCCAGCAGCCGCGGUAAUUCCAGCUCCAAUAGCGUAUAUUAAAAUUGUUGACGUUAAAAAGCUCGUAGUCGACUUUCGGCCCUUGCUGGCUGGUCCGCUCCAUGAGUGUGUACUGGUCUUCAGCAGGGGCUUUACCUCCUGGUGAGCCGGCAUGGCCUUUAUUGGUUGUGUCGGGGAACCCGGAAUUUUACUUUGAAUAAAUCAGAGUGUUCAAAGCAGGCAUGUUUGCCCGAAUGUUACAGCAUGGAAUAAUAGAAUAGGAUGUGUGCCUCUAUUGGUCUUUUAGAGGCACCUUAAUGAGAAAUAGGGGCGGCUCGGGGGCAUUUGUAUUCAAUUGCUAGAGGUGAAAUUCUUGGAUUUAUUGAAGACAAACUACUGCGAAAGCAUUUGCCAAGGACGCUUUCAUUGAUCAAGAACGAAGGUCGGGGGAUCGAAAACGAUUAGAUACCGUUGUAGUCUCGACAGUAAACUAUGCCAACCGGCGAUGGGUGGGGAUUUUCUAAAUGACCCCAUCUGCAGCCAAAGAGAAAUCUCGAGUGCGGUUCGUGGGGGAGUACGGUCACAAGGCUGAAACUUAAAGGAAUUGACGGAAGGGCACCACCAGGAGUGGAGCCUGCGGCUUAAUUUGACUCAACACGGGGAAACUCACCAGGUCCAGACACAAUUAGGAUUGACAGAUUGAUAGCUCUUUCUUGAUCUUGUGGUUGGUGGUGCAUGGCCGUUCUUAGUUGGUGGAGUGAUUUGUCUGGUUAAUUCCGAUAACGAACGAGACCUUAACCUGCUAAAUAGCCCAGCCGACUUUGGUUGGCUGCUGGCUUCUUAGAGGGACUAUCGACGUUUAGUCGAUGGAAGUUUGAGGCAAUAACAGGUCUGUGAUGCCCUUAGAUGUUCUGGGCCGCACGCGCGCUACACUGACAGAGCCAGCGAGUUUUUUAUAGUCCUUGGCCGGAAGGCCUGGGUAAUCUUGUGAAACUCUGUCGUGAUGGGGAUAGAGCAUUGCAAUUAUUGCUCUUCAACGAGGAAUUCCUAGUAAGCGCAAGUCAUCAGCUUGCGUUGAUUACGUCCCUGCCCUUUGU